ACAGCAUUCGGACCGUCGGUCUACCGAGCAAAUACCACCCGCUCGUGGAAGGUCUUCCCUUUAGUCGU
RNAcentral lists this microRNA precursor (68 nucleotides) under Bombyx mori (domestic silkworm). RNAcentral's name for it is "mir-2774 microRNA precursor family". It matches the Rfam family "mir-2774 microRNA precursor family". Lineage: Eukaryota; Metazoa; Arthropoda; Insecta; Lepidoptera; Bombycidae. The record is from Rfam by way of RNAcentral.